RNAcentral lists this long non-coding RNA (2032 nucleotides) under Sorghum bicolor (sorghum). Its description in RNAcentral is "long non-coding RNA (SBIC_LNC013477)". Lineage: Eukaryota; Viridiplantae; Streptophyta; Magnoliopsida; Poales; Poaceae. The record is from RNAcentral.
GCGCCACGCCCCCGCCUCCCCCGCCUGUUUGUCUACUUCUGACAAGAGGGCCCAAGGGUGAGUUAGUUUUUAUUUAUAUACUUUUUGGCAAAAAAUUGGCGGCAUAAAAGUUUUGCAAACACCCCCCAGCCCCGCACCCCCAACUAAGGCCUUGUUUAGUUUCGAAAUUUUUUGGUUUUGGAGACUUUAGCACUUUUCAUUUUUAUUAGACAAUUAUUGUCUAAUAAUAGACUAACUAGGCUCAAAAAAUUCAUCUCGCGAUUUACAGGCAAACUGUGCAAUUAGUUUUUGUUUUCGUCUAUAUUUAAUGCUUCAUGCAUGUGCUGCAAGAUUCGAUGUGAUGGGGGAUCUUAAAAAAUUUUUGGUUUUUGGGUGAACUAAACAAGGUCUAAGGGGGUGUUUAGUUCCCCUAUAAUUGCUCUGUGUCUGUACUUCGUAUUCUGUAACAUACUGAGACCUUGUUUAGUUCCAAAAUAUUUUGGGCUAAAUACAAAUUUUUUUUGCUAUUUUGCAUUUUGGAAGUAAACAUGUCCAAAAUAUUUUGGCCCUAAACUUUUUGCAAAAUUAAAUAGGAAAUGGACUUGUUUAGUUCUUUUUUUUUGCAAAAUGGACAUUGUAACACUUUCGUUUGUAUUUGAUAAAUAUUGUCCAAUAAUAGAAUAAUUAGGCUCAAAAGAUUCGUCUCGCAAAUUACAUAUAAACAGUGUAAUUAGUUAUUUUUUAUCUGUAUUUAGUGCUCUAUACAUGUGCCAUAAGAUUCAAUAUGAUAGGUAUCUGAAAAAUUUUGCAAAUUUUUUGGGAAGUAGACACCAAAACCAAAAAAAUUACGUUAGAAUUUUGGUGGGCUGCUCAAGGUUUUGGGGUUUUGGGUUUUUUUGCAAAAUACUUUAUAGGCCUGAACUACUGAUUUCGCAGACUAGGUCUUGUUUACUUCCACCCAAAAACCCAAAAUCUUCCAAGAUUCUCCGUCACAUUGAAUCUUUAUACGCAUACAUGAAGUAUUAAGUAUAGAAGAAAAUAAAAACUAAUUACAUAGUUUGGUCGAAAUUGACGAGACGAAUUUUUUGAGCCUAGUUAGUCCAUGAUUAGACAAUAAUUACCACAAACAAACGAAAGUGCUACAGUGUCACGAAAUUUUUUCCUUCAUGAAGUAAACAAGGCCCUAGUGGAUUUGCCAGAGCUAGCUGUUCCUCUUGUGAUUCUAUCCGGAUUUCUAUAUAUCCUACUCCACUGCUGUUUUCGUUUUCUGUUUCAAUGCAGGUGUGCUGAAUUGCAUGCAACCAGGAUUUCGAUGACAGAACAAGCGCCAAAGAGAUCACUACAAUCGCAAGUCUCCUUACCAUUACCAGUGUGGUCGACUCAACUACUUUGCACCUGACAUUCUAUGCUCCAACCUGCAGAUAACACGCUGUCCUUCGGUUGUCCAUAGCAAUAGCACGCGAACUCUGAAUCACCAUUACUCUGAUGGCACUGGGUGUUGUUCACCAUCACUCUGUUUUUCGUUUUUGUUUCAGAGUUUCAUAGUCUGUCAGUCUUUCCGUUUCAGUUUCAGUAAAUCCACUUCGGCAAAGCAUUUCAUGGACUGACAUUUGUGCUUUGAAACAAGAUGGCAGCACUCCCUGAUUGCUCUCUACACCACAGACGAUCUUUCUUAGAACCUGGAGCCGAUGUGUAGUGGCACUGAACCAAAUUAAGCUAUCGGUCUGGUGGAGCAGGACACAAAUGAAGCUGUUGCUUUCUUCCUGCAGACACAGACCCUGUAUGGAAUGGAUUGGCAAAUUUCAGUUAUAGAGAAGAGAGGGCCCUUCAUUUUUUUCCCCUUCAAAUAUAUGAACUGGCAGUCAAUUCUACUGUCACCAAGCAAGUAAAAGAGGUUGUGCAAGCACAACAGAUUCACUUCACUUAUAACAAUAAAUUUCCCUACAGAGAUGCAGUGAUGGAAUCAAACAGGCAUUCUAAUUGUUGAUAGACAAGACAAUGAAAGUUGUGUUUGUUCAAUAUAGCUACAUCGAAGUACAUUGAGAGUAUUGGC